CGGAGGGAUCAUUAAAGAGUUCUAUAACUCCCAAACCCAUGUGAACAUACCUAACGUUGCCUCGGCAGGUCGCACCUACCUUGUAGCACCCUACCCUGUAGGGCCUACCCGGGAGGUGCGGGUAAGCCUGCCGGCGGCCCACCAAACUCUGUUUGAUAUUGAAUUCUGAAUCUAUAACUAAAUAAGUUAAAACUUUCAACAACGGAUCUCUUGGUUCUGGCAUCGAUGAAGAACGCAGCGAAAUGCGAUAAGUAAUGUGAAUUGCAGAAUUCAGUGAAUCAUCGAAUCUUUGAACGCAUAUUGCGCCCAUUAGUAUUCUAGUGGGCAGGACCGUUCGAGCGUCAUUUCAACCCUUAAGCCUUCGUUGCUUAGUGUUGGGAGCCUACGGCAACGUAGCUCCUCAAAGUUAGUGGCGGAGUUGGUUCACACUCUAGACGUAGUAAUUUUUUAUCUCGCCUAUUAGUUGGACUAAUCCCCUGCCGUAAAACCCCCAAUUUAUAUCAAGGUUGACCUCGAAUCGGUUCAGACAAACUCGCUAAAUUGAAGCAUCUUAGUCAGCGAAGGAAAAGAAACCAACAGGGAUUGCCCUAGUAACGGCGAGUGAAGCGGCAACAGCUCAAAUUUGAAAUCUGGCCCUCGGGUCCG
Molecule: ribosomal RNA, 645 nt
Filed under: fungal endophyte
Lineage: Eukaryota; Fungi
Description: eukaryotic LSU rRNA
Rfam family: 5.8S ribosomal RNA (bases 191-344)
Source: RNAcentral